Molecule: transfer RNA, 101 nt
Filed under: Puccinia graminis f. sp. tritici
Lineage: Eukaryota; Fungi; Basidiomycota; Pucciniomycetes; Pucciniales; Pucciniaceae
Description: tRNA-Pro
Source: RNAcentral
GGUUUGGUGGUCUAGUAGUAUGAUUCACCCUUAGGGUUACAUUUCGCAAUGAGAUGAGAACGAUCUGGGUGAGGUCCCGGGUUCAAUUCCCGGCCAGACCC